AAUGUUUGUUAUCUGAUUAUGUGUGCACUAGGGUAGAAGUGAAAAUGUUUGACGAUCUCUCAAGCCAGAGGGAACAUUUAAAAAGGAAGGAUCCUUGUAGAUGCUAGAUGUAAUGAAAAUAUGUUUCCAAAUCACCAAAGCCAAGAGUUUAGUAGAAGCGACACAAUUUUUCCCUGCUUCAUCUUUGUAGAGUGUCUAGAGGCUUCCCACAUUCCUUGACUGGUGACCUUCUCCUCCAUCUUCAAAGCCAGCAACGGUGGCCGGGAUUCUUCUCACAUUACAUCUGACCUCCUCUUCUGCACCCCCACUUCUACUUUUAAGGACCCUUGUGAUUACACUGAGUGCAUCUGGAUAAUAUAGGAUAAUCUCCAUAUUUUAAGGACAGCUUGUUAGUAAACUUUAUCCCAUCUGCAACCUUAAUUUUCCUUUGCCAUUUAAAGUAACAUAUUCACAGAUUCCAGGGUUGAGAACAUGGAU
Gorilla gorilla gorilla (western lowland gorilla) is the source of this 477-nucleotide long non-coding RNA. RefSeq lists it as uncharacterized. The record is from RefSeq and is a predicted model, not a curated record. NCBI's taxonomy places the organism in Eukaryota, Metazoa, Chordata, Mammalia, Primates, Hominidae. The transcript has 3 exons.